Molecule: small nuclear RNA, 105 nt
Organism: Rhinolophus ferrumequinum (greater horseshoe bat)
Lineage: Eukaryota; Metazoa; Chordata; Mammalia; Chiroptera; Rhinolophidae
Source: Ensembl
UGCUUGCUUCGGUAGCAAUAUAUGAAAAUUGAAAUUAUACAGAGAAGAUAAACAUGGCCCCUGUGCUACAAUGACAUGCAAAUUUGUGAAAGCAUUCCAUAUUUU